CUGAGAGCCUCUAUAGUUUUCUCGGAAAGAGAGGAAAAAGAGGCAGGAAAUUGCUGCAAUAAAAAUAAGAAUUUGCUGCUCUCCAUCGAUCUAUGCAACCGUGGCUCAACGCUUCGAUUUCAAAAUUAUUGUGCGUUGUUGAUACCAUUAAUAUCAAAAUUUAUUAUGAACUGUUUUGACAAGCUUCGCUCUUCUUCCAAUCACAGCCGCUUCAUUGCCGGCCUUCUCAUCUUCAUUCUCUACCAUUCUUUCCAGUUAAUUUCCAAUUUCUUGAUUCCUAUACACCCUUAAUUUCAAUUUCAAUCUUAUUCUUCGCAAUUUUCAUCACCACACCUCCCAAACACAAUCAAACAGUCCGGCAAGCAAUUUCUUCUUCUGUUCCUUCUCAAUCGAUUUCGAUUUCUGUGCAUCUUUUCUCUCGAUCUCGAAUGGAUACCAAUAUCACGUCUCUCCACAAACUCCUGCUCGACGGCACUUUUGCUUCGCACAUUGAGAGGAAAAACAGUUCAAUACCUACUGUCAUUGUGAUUGGUGGUGGUAUUUCGGGGCUCGCUGCUGCACGUAUCCUAUUCGAUGCAUCUUUUAAGGUAAUCUUGCUAGAAUCACGGGAUAGACUUGGUGGUCGUAUUCAUACUGACUAUUCAUUUGGUUAUCCAGUGGAUUUGGGAGCAUCAUGGUAACAUCUCCCUUGUUACCCCCUCCUUUCUCUCUCUUUCUCUCUCAAUUUCACUGCAUCCCUUGCUUAUGAUUGAGUUUAUGCAUACAAAAGAACAAUUCCUUUAUGAUGUGUUAAGUUAGCAUACUCGUAUUUUUUUUCAUACCCCCAUUUAUUUGAUCUCUUGUUGGCCAAAGUCUCAUAAACCUGCACUUUUCUAUUUGCAUUUGUUGCUUCAUACCAUUGGAAAUAAUAUAUGCACCAGAUGCCAUGAAGAGAGAGGAAAAAGAGCAAGGAGCUUAUUUGAAAUCUUGGGUCUUGAUCCUCUGUUAUUUUUUGUAAACUUGAACUAAAUCAUCAAAAAUUUUUUAGGGGUUGCUUAAUCGUUUUGGAUUGUUUUGGAUCUAUGAUAAUAUCAAAGGGUUAUAUGUUUUGAAAGGUCAUGGAGGAGUAUGAUUUUCUUUAAUCUCAACUUAAUCUUAGUCUUGAUUGAGUUUAGAACUUUCGAUAGGUUAAUGGAUCCUUUUCUCCAUUCUAUUCUGUUUUGGGCCAACUGGAUUGGGAGCUACCGUAAAGCGAAAACAAAAUUUUGUCUAUAUUUUUCUUGUCAUUUUUUUAUGCAUCUUCUUGGUUCCUACUUCCUACUGCUUAAAUUCAAUCAGAUAUUAGCAGUGGCGCAUCUCCUAUCUAUUAGGUAUUCUCAAAUGAUCUUCUCCCAACUUAUCCUCAAUGGGUUUCAUAUCUGCCCAUGAAUACAAUUAUAUUUGUUGUAGUUCUUUUUUCCCCCCCAAAUUCUUAUACUAUUUCAGAAUCACCUUAAUGCAUCUGAUUCGUAAUAGGAUCUGCUAUAUUGAGUGGUUGUAUAUGAAGUUUGACAACAUAUUUCCUCAAAUAUUACAUGGUCUUCUUUGUUUCCUUUUUUGAGUGCUUUUCUUGGAUGCUUUAGCAUGGUCUGCUUUUGACCGAUGUGCUAGAUGUAUCAAGUGUUCUUCUCAAGUGCACAAGUGACAAGUGUAGUUCUAGUGGUUUGCAUAUAAGAGGGAGUAAUUGUGCCACAAAUAAGAUUUCCUGCCUUAAACUGCUAGUUAACUAUGAUCCAAGUCGAGGACUAUUAAUAAACAUUAAUAAAUUUUGUAAAUAGCAUUUGUUUCCUGUGCUUAUUUGGAUAUGUCGGUGCAUGAAUUUCCCAAUAUUGAAAUUAGUGAUAAAUUUGAAAUUCAAUGGUUGGCUGGAUAACCUUUACCUGUACCAAAAUGUGCACAUUUAUGGUUGCCUAAAGGAAUCCAAUAUUAACUUCUUGAUGCAUUAUAUACAGGAAAUUAAUAAAUUUGUUAACUGAAUUGUGCUCUGUGAUGAGUUCCUUUUUGACCCACAUAAUCCAUUUUAAUGAUGCCAUGAUGAAGUGAAUAUUUCUACUAUAUGUCAACAAAGUCUGUGCAGCUUCACUCAUUUCGGCAAGUUAAUCUCCAAAAUUCCUACUUCGAUUUCAUUGAUUUCUUUAUUUAUUGGAGAUUUAUUCGAUCACUAUAUUUCCUCAAUGCGGAUAGAAGAUAAGCACUAUCAUUAAUAAAAGUAUAUUCAUUUGUGAUGGAUUCUCUUAAGUCUUAUAUAAACUCUUGCAACCUUAUUCAGAAAAUAAUUUAUUCAACUAAGCUGACAGAGGAACAGUUGGUAUCCAUUAUUUCCAAAUUUUACAAGGGACCUCAUUGUGACAAUCACUUGUGCCUUGGAAGCCUAAUGGAUUUAUCAUGCAGAUUAAGAAAGGAUUCCUAUUUCUUGUUUGUGUUUCAUGUUGAAUCUUUAAGCCUUUUUUUCUUUCUUUCUUUUUCCCUUGCUUGUACUUCCUGUUCACUGGGUUUUCCUUCAUUUUUUUGCUGUUUAUAAUAUUUAAUAGAUGCCUUACUGCUUACCAUUGUGAAGUAACUCUUCAGUAGAUGAAGUAUAACGCAACAUGUACUAUGGUUGCCAUUCAGGCUACAUGGCGUCUGCAAUGAGAAUCCUUUGGCUCCACUCAUACGCUCUCUAGGGCUCACACUAUAUCGGACAAGUGGUGAUGAUUCUGUAUUGUAUGACCAUGAUCUAGAAAGUUAUACUCUUUUCGAUGCGGAUGGACAUCAAGUUCCACAACAGCUAGUCAAAGAAGUUGGAGAUAUAUUCAAGAAAAUUCUUAAAGAGACGGAGAGAAUAAGAGAUGAACACACUGAUGACAUGUCAAUUCUCCAAGCAAUUGGGCUUGUGUUAGAUAGGCAUCCUGAAUUAAGGCAAGAAGGACUUGCAAAUGAAGUGUUGCAAUGGUAUAUUUGUAGAAUGGAAGCUUGGUUUGCAGUUGAUGCAGAUAUGAUAUCACUGAAAACAUGGGAUCAGGCAAGUUCCAUAUAUCAUAAUGUUGGUAAUGCUUGUUUGUAUAAAAAUAGACCAGGGAAUUGGACCAUAACAAAAAAGAUGGACAUGAUUUAUGCUUGGGAGUGUGGGAGGCUCUGCCUUGGAUUGAUCUUGAAAAUAGCUGAGAAAUUUAGUGUUUCCAGAGAAAAGACAUGUAAAAAUGAAUUGUUCCAUUUCUAAUGUUUUCUUUUUGGGACUUUCCACAAUUUUGCUAUAAUUUCACAUGUGAUCACCUAAGUUAUGAUUAAAUUUCAAUGCUGUCACUUUACUUUAAUUUACAACAUAAAAUCAUUCUUUACUUUGUAUUUCAAUAAAGGAACUAUUGCUAGUUUUUGAGAUCUGGUUAGAAUUCAGAUGUUUUAUAUGUUGGGCAAAAAGGAAAGUCUAUAACCCAUCCAUAAUUAUAAAAUUAGUUACACAAAUUUUUAUUUAACUACCAUAUUAGAAAUCCUUUUGAAAUUCUGCUAAAAUCUAAUAAUAAUGUUUUUAUCAAAAUACAAAUUAAAGUUUAGUGAUUUUUAUGUUACAAACUGAAAUUAAGUGACUUUGCUAACUUCAGGAUUAUGUGUAAAAUUAAGCCCACAAUUCUAUAAUGCAUGACAUUAUAUUGGUAAGGCGUGGAACUUGUUUACGGUAUAGAACUUCCAUGACUGUCUCUAAGGGGACACCCAAGUGGUAUAGGCUUGGAAUUUCAUAAGGAUAUCUCAUGUUUAAAUUUGCUGGAAUCAGGGUAGCAAGGGGUGUCUCAAAGGUGAGCACUAAUUUCAGUUGUAUAGUUCAUCCAAUGUACUGGGAAAAAAAGAAUCCUGAUGUUCUUCUGACAUGAUAUAAGUUCUCAUUGUUAUAUCAACUCUAAAUUGUAUAUCAUUAAAAUAUAAGAAGUGAAAUGAAAAUUUUAGACACUGGAAUUGUAAUGUAUAUUUAUAGAUUCAUUUCUUCUUCUUCUUCUUCCCCCCUUUUGAGAAAUCUUCUUCUUCUUUUCCCCUCUUUUGAGAAAUUGCAUUUCCAUAUGAAGCUUUUAUUGGUUACGGUCACUUUGGGUUUAUGUUAUGCAUAGUUACAUAGUUAAGGUCGUUUCUUGUGGUACAGGAGCAUGUUCUUUCUGGUGGGCAUGGACUUAUGGUACAAGGCUAUGAUCCUAUAAUAAAGGCUCUUGCAAAAGACAUUGACAUACGCUUGAAUCACAGGUAUGGCUCUUAUUUCAGUAACGAUUUCAGUUGCAUUGUGACUCGACAUUUAGAAAUGAUCUGUGUAAAAGGACAUGAAAAAAAAAUAAAGGAAGGCAGAGGGUAGGAGUUUUAUUAUGAUGAUACGUGUAAGCUUCCUUCUUCACAUGUUGCUUUCAUAUCUUUUAUUUUUUCCUCCAUUGUAACUAUAGAUUCUGGUUCAUAUCUUGUGUGAAGUCAUGUGGUCUCUAUUUUAGUAUUGGGUGUGAGUCCUGAUGCCUAAUUCUUUAUUCUAAAGGACAAUUGCUCAAAUUAACUGUGGAAUUUUAAAAUGAGGUUGUACAUUUCUCUAGCAGCUUAGAACUAGAGUAAGUUGUUUAGUAUUAAUGCUUAUUUGACCAAGUGGUUUAGUAUGUUGUUUUGCAACACAUCAAGAGCAAAAAUUGUCUUGAAUUCUUUUUAUUCAGAUUGGAUAAGACCUGCCGAUUUCGAGAGGUGAUGUUUUCACUUUCUAACUCAACCCAAAAUUUUUUCAAAGCAAUUGCUUGUUUAUAAUUUCUUCGGCACAUUGAGGUAUGCUUGUGAUUUAAUAUGUGAAGAAGCACAUGUAAGAUAAUUUUAUAAACCAAAUAUUGUCUGAACUGCUUUCCUGGUUUUGUUUGUUGGGCUGCUUGUGUGGGUAAGCAGUGGACAAAUGGGAUGACAGACAGAGAUACACCGAUGUCCAUGCAUCAUUUACAUGAAUGCUUUCUGAAUUGUCCCAGUAACAUUAGUUUCAGAACUUGAGAAUUGAAAUUUUUAGUAUGUAAAUGGAUGUGGAGACAAUUAUCGAGAAACUUACAUUGUAACUAUUUAAAAAAAAAUGUUAUAAUGAAAAGGCUUGAGUAAUUGCAUGUAAAUUUUGCGCGGGAUUUAUUUAUUUAUUUUUAUGAAUUCAUGGAUAUAUGGCUGUCACUUGAUUUUCUCUCGCUUCCAUGUGCUUGCAAUUGUUUAUACAAAUAAUAAUGUUUCAUUCUUUUCUGAAUCUUGAUACGUAGAGUUACAAAAAUAUGCUAUGGGCCUAAUAAGGCAAUGGUCGUAGUUGAGGGCGGAAGGAACUUUAUAGCUGAUGCUGCUAUAGUUACAGUACCACUUGGGAUUCUUAAAGCCAAUUUAAUUCAGUUUGAACCCAAGUUGCCAGAAUGGAAGGUUGCUUCAAUUUCAGAUAUUGGUGUUGGCAGUGAAAAUAAAGUUGCAUUACAAUUUGAUAAAGUAUUUUGGCCAAAUGUGGAAUUCUUGGGCAUUGUUGCACCCACAUCUUAUGCUUGUGGUUAUUUUCUCAAUCUUCACAAGGCAACUGGCCAUCCUGUACUUGUCUAUAUGGCCGCUGGUAGGUUUGCAUGUGAUCUUGAGAAGCUAUCUGACGAGUCUUCUGCAAAUUUUGUGAUGUUACAGCUGAAGAAAAUGUUUCCUGAUGCAACAGAGCCUGUAAGUCAUUUUUUUCCGCUCUUUUAUGAUUUAGUUUCAAGAGAAUUCAUAUGCUAUAUCUACUUGAGGCUAUCCACUUGAAAUAUAUAGCUUUUAAGUAAUAAAAGUGAUGGCGUAUCAGUGAACCUAUCGUGUGUUGUUGGGUACUAUGCUGUAAAAAGGGAAUUGUGUAGGUGUAGUUCAUCUGGAUAUAGAAUCGAUGAUUUUUAAAGUCGUCCUUUAUUUCUUUAUGCAGUGCCUAUGACAUGCAUUUUUCUGCAUAUCAUUUGUUCUGGAUUUUAAACAAACUAGUUUUGAUGCUUUAUAUCAACUUCAUGACUUGCCAUUUGGUUGGUGUGCUGGAGUAGGUUCGAUAUCUCGUAUCGCGAUGGGGAACAGAUCCAAACUCACUUGGUUGUUAUGCAUACGAUGUGGUCGGAAAGCCAGAAGAUGUCUAUGAGAGGCUUCGUGCACCCUUGGGAAAUCUUUUCUUUGGAGGGGAAGCCGUUAGCAUGGAGCACCAGGGUUCUGUCCAUGGAGCUUACUCAGCUGGUGUCAUGGCCGCUGAGAACUGUCAGAGGCAUGUAUUAGAGGGACUUGGUAACCUAGAGAAACUCCAGCUAGUCCCUUUAAGGUGUGAGAUUCAUGAAGCUGCAUUUCCACUCCAAAUCUCAAGAAUGUAAUAUUUUCAUUCAGUGAAGUAUGAGUAGGAUUCAUGAAUGUUAAUCGGUAAAAUUUAAGUUAGUUUUUAUUUUUUUGAUUCCUUAAAAUUGAAGAUUUUUGCAACAGUUAAAUCUUUAUUAAUAAUUAUGAUUGCCUUUAUGUAGC
This 6477-nucleotide unclassified non-coding RNA is filed under the name Hevea brasiliensis (rubber tree). Lineage: Eukaryota; Viridiplantae; Streptophyta; Magnoliopsida; Malpighiales; Euphorbiaceae. The record is from RNAcentral.